CCUACGGGGGGCAGCAGUGGGGAAUAUUGGACAAUGGGCGAAAGCCUGAUCCAGCCAUGCCGCGUGUGUGAAGAAGGCCUUCGGGUUGUAAAGCACUUUCAGUGGGGAAGAAAGCCUUGGGGCUAAUACCCUCGAGGAAGGACAUCACCCACAGAAGAAGCACCGGCUAACUCCGUGCCAGCAGCCGCGGUAAUACGGCGGGUGCGAGCGUUAAUCGGAAUUACUGGGCGGAAAGCGCGCGUAGGCGGUCUGAUAAGCCGGUUGUGAAAGCCCCGGGCUCAACCUGGGAACGGCAUCCGGAACUGUCAGGCUAGAGUGCAGGAGAGGAAGGUAGAAUUCCCGGUGUAGCGGUGAAAUGCGUAGAGAUCGGGAGGAAUACCAGUGGCGAAGGCGGCCUUCUGGACUGACACUGACGCUGAGGUGCGAAAGCGUGGGUAGCAAACAGGAUUAGAUACCCUUGUAGUC
RNAcentral lists this ribosomal RNA (465 nucleotides) under Vreelandella stevensii. RNAcentral's name for it is "partial 16S ribosomal RNA". It matches the Rfam family "Bacterial small subunit ribosomal RNA", at positions 338 to 795 of the family's 1533-position model. Lineage: Bacteria; Pseudomonadati; Pseudomonadota; Gammaproteobacteria; Oceanospirillales; Halomonadaceae. The record is from RNAcentral.